UAAUAAGUGUUUUAUGGCACUUUUUAAAUCCAUAUCCACCUUGUGUGCAAUGUCAGUCGAUCUUCUUCAUGGAGAUCGACCAAACAUCAACCUUUAUCUUUUAACUCUUUGUCUUAAAAAUAUUAUGAAUAACAAUUCAAAAUA
RNAcentral lists this unclassified non-coding RNA (144 nucleotides) under soil metagenome. Its description in RNAcentral is "partial internal transcribed spacer 1". The record is from RNAcentral.